RNAcentral lists this ribosomal RNA (804 nucleotides) under Ruegeria atlantica. Its description in RNAcentral is "bacterial SSU rRNA". It matches the Rfam family "Bacterial small subunit ribosomal RNA", at positions 18 to 871 of the family's 1533-position model. The record is from RNAcentral. Lineage: Bacteria; Pseudomonadati; Pseudomonadota; Alphaproteobacteria; Rhodobacterales; Roseobacteraceae.
CAUGGCUCAGAACGAACGCUGGCGGCAGGCUUAACACAUGCAAGUCGAGCGCACCUUCGGGUGAGCGGCGGACGGGUUAGUAACGCGUGGGAACAUACCCUUUGGUACGGAAUAGCCUCUGGAAACGGAGAGUAAUACCGUAUGAGCCCUUCGGGGGAAAGAUUUAUCGCCAAAGGAUUGGCCCGCGUUAGAUUAGGUAGUUGGUGGGGUAAUGGCCUACCAAGCCUACGAUCUAUAGCUGGUUUUAGAGGAUGAUCAGCAACACUGGGACUGAGACACGGCCCAGACUCCUACGGGAGGCAGCAGUGGGGAAUCUUGGACAAUGGGGGCAACCCUGAUCCAGCCAUGCCGCGUGAGUGAUGAAGGCCUUAGGGUCGUAAAGCUCUUUCGCCUGUGAAGAUAAUGACGGUAGCAGGUAAAGAAACCCCGGCUAACUCCGUGCCAGCAGCCGCGGUAAUACGGAGGGGGUUAGCGUUGUUCGGAAUUACUGGGCGUAAAGCGCACGUAGGCGGACUGGAAAGUUGGGGGUGAAAUCCCAGGGCUCAACCCUGGAACUGCCUCCAAAACUAUCAGUCUAGAGUUCGAGAGAGGUGAGUGGAAUUCCGAGUGUAGAGGUGAAAUUCGUAGAUAUUCGGAGGAACACCAGUGGCGAAGGCGGCUCACUGGCUCGAUACUGACGCUGAGGUGCGAAAGUGUGGGGAGCAAACAGGAUUAGAUACCCUGGUAGUCCACACCGUAAACGAUGAAUGCCAGUCGUCGGGUAGCAUGCUAUUCGGUGACACACCUAACGGAUUAAGCAUUCCG